This 1140-nucleotide ribosomal RNA is filed under the name Triticum aestivum (bread wheat). Its description in RNAcentral is "partial small subunit ribosomal RNA". The record is from RNAcentral. Lineage: Eukaryota; Viridiplantae; Streptophyta; Magnoliopsida; Poales; Poaceae.
AUGGGCGGCUACGAGAACGGUGACUCGCCGGCGGCCGCCGCCUGGGAGGGCGGCGUGAUCCUAGGCGUGGACGGAGGCACCACCAGCACCGUCUGCGUCUGCCUGCCGGCCGCAAUGCCACCACCGGAGGCGCCCGGCUCCGUCGCCGUGCUCUCCCGCGCCAUCGCCGGCUGCUCCAACCGUAAUUCCGUCGGAGAAAACGCUGCACUGGAAACUCUAGAACAGGUCAUGAUGCAGGCCCUCACAAUGGCCAACACAGAUCGUUCUGCUGUUGUUGCAGUUUGCUUAUCUGUAUCUGGGGUGAACCAUCCUUCAGAUCAGCAGAGGAUGCUGGACUGGAUCUGCAACCUAUUCCCUGGCAAUGCCAAGUUUUAUGUGGAAAAUGAUGCGGUGGCGGCUUUAGCCAGUGGUACAAUGGGAAAGCUACAUGGCUGUGUAUUGAUUGCUGGCACAGGAAGCAUUGCUUAUGGGGUCACCGAAGAUGGAAAAGUAGCGAGAGCAGCUGGUGCCGGUCCUGUCUUAGGCGACUGGGGUAGUGGCUAUGGCAUUGCUGCACAGGCCCUCACAGCAGUAAUAAAAGCACAUGAUGGCCGUGGACCACAAACUAAUCUUACAAGAGAUAUCAUUAGGAAGCUUGAAAUUUCUUCACCAGAUGAGUUGAUUGGGUGGGCAUAUGCGGAUCCAUCUUGGGCCCGUAUUGCAGCUCUUGUACCUGUUGUGGUAUCUGCUGCUGAAGAUGGUGACAAAGUAGCAAACACGAUACUGCAUGAUGCAGUGCAAGAGUUGGCUGAAAGCGUUGUAGCUGUUGUUCGGCGCCUUACAUUGUGUGGUGAAGAUGGGAAAGACCAAUUUCCACUUGUAUUGGUUGGAGGUGUCCUUGAAGGAAAUAAGAAAUGGGACAUCAGUGGUGAGGUCAUAAAAUGCAUUUCCAAAGUCUUCCCAGGUGUCUGUCCUAUUCGGCCCGAGGUCAGUAUGAGAACUAAUAUACGCUGUUAUGAAGUCUAUCUUAUUAGCCAUUGCAAUUCUCUGGAGAUUGAACAUUCUGAGGCUUUGGACAGUUUGGUGGAACCUGCAAUUGGUGCGGCGUUGCUAGCUUGGAGCCAUCUUCGUAAAGAGUCAAAGCUGCAAAAUGGCAGCUGA